RNAcentral lists this non-coding RNA (251 nucleotides) under Jeotgalibaca sp. RNAcentral's name for it is "T-box sequence". It matches the Rfam family "T-box leader". Rfam says of the family: Uncharged tRNA acts as the effector for transcription antitermination of genes in the T-box leader family. The record is from RNAcentral. Lineage: Bacteria; Bacillati; Bacillota; Bacilli; Lactobacillales; Carnobacteriaceae.
AGAGUCGCGAUGACGAGAUAAGUAAAUAAGAAUGUUUAGGUAGAGAGCUUGUGGUUGGUGAAAACAAGUUAAACGGCAUUAUUGAAAAUGGUCUCUGAGCAAAAGUAAUUUGAGCCAAUGGUUAGAGUUACUCGGGAACUCCCGUUACAGAGGACGAGUAUUAUCUAUUUUUGAGACGUACUCUGUGAGGUUAUGUCAGUGAUGGCAUGACGCAUAAAGGUGGUACCGUGAUUAAAGCUUUCACCCUUUAC